RNAcentral lists this transfer RNA (77 nucleotides) under Candidatus Eiseniibacteriota bacterium. RNAcentral describes it as "tRNA-Val". It matches the Rfam family "tRNA". From Rfam's summary of the family: Transfer RNA (tRNA) molecules are approximately 80 nucleotides in length. Their secondary structure includes four short double-helical elements and three loops (D, anti-codon, and T loops). Further hydrogen bonds mediate the characteristic L-shaped molecular structure. tRNAs have two regions of fundamental functional importance: the anti-codon, which is responsible for specific mRNA codon recognition, and the 3' end, to which the tRNAs corresponding amino acid is attached (by aminoacyl-tRNA synthetases). tRNAs cope with the degeneracy of the genetic code in two manners: having more than one tRNA (with a specific anti-codon) for a particular amino acid; and 'wobble' base-pairing, i.e. permitting non-standard base-pairing at the 3rd anti-codon position. The record is from RNAcentral. Lineage: Bacteria; Candidatus Eiseniibacteriota.
GGGCGAUUAGCUCAGCUGGUUAGAGUACUUGCUUGACAUGCAAGGGGUCGGUGGUUCGAGUCCACUAUCGCCCACCA